This 420-nucleotide ribosomal RNA is filed under the name Fusobacteriota bacterium. Its description in RNAcentral is "Fusobacteria bacterium partial 16S ribosomal RNA". It matches the Rfam family "Bacterial small subunit ribosomal RNA", at positions 355 to 776 of the family's 1533-position model. Lineage: Bacteria; Fusobacteriati; Fusobacteriota. The record is from RNAcentral.
UGGGGGAUAUUGCACAAUGGGCGAAAGCCUGAUGCAGCGACGCCGCGUGGGGGAUGAAGGCCUUCGGGUUGUAAACUUCUUUUGCUCUGAACAAGGCAUGCCUUUGGGGUGUGUUGAGUGUAGGGGUUGAUUAGCGCCGGCUAACUACGUGCCAGCAGCCGCGGUAAUACGUAGGGCGCGAGCGUUGUCCGGAAUUAUUGGGCGUAAAGGGCUUGUGGGUGGCUGGUUGCGUCUGUCGUGAAAGCUCAUGGCUUAACUGUGGGUUUGCGGUGGGUACGGGCUGGCUUGAGUGCAGUAGGGGAGGCUGGAAUUCCUGGUGUAGCGGUGGAAUGCGCAGAUAUCAGGAGGAAUACCGGUGGCGAAGGCGGGUCUCUGGGCUGUUACUGACGCUGAGGAGCGAAAGCGUGGGGAGCGAACAGG